UACGCGGCCUAACUAGCCGCGUACGUCCGACCGCCGAGUGCCCGUGUAAGCGGAAGGGCGUCGCCCUAACGGGAUAGCCUAAGUCCCCCUCCCGGGGGGAGGAAGGGCGAAACCCAAACCGGGAUGGUCUGACGGGAACCCUGCCGGCCGGGGUCCCCGAGGACGAGAACGAAAAGACCGGAAACGCACGUAGUAGCCCGGAGUGAAGAGUCUUCGGACGGGGGUUCGACUCCCCCCGCCUCCACCA
This 247-nucleotide transfer-messenger RNA is filed under the name Alphaproteobacteria bacterium. RNAcentral describes it as "partial transfer-messenger RNA". It matches the Rfam family "transfer-messenger RNA", at positions 117 to 374 of the family's 374-position model. Rfam says of the family: Bacterial tmRNA, also known as 10Sa RNA or SsrA, is named for its dual tRNA and mRNA-like properties. Its role is to liberate the mRNA from a stalled ribosome. To accomplish this part of the tmRNA is used as a reading frame that ends in a translation stop signal. The record is from RNAcentral. Lineage: Bacteria; Pseudomonadati; Pseudomonadota; Alphaproteobacteria.